UACGAAGGGGGCUAGCGUUGCUCGGAAUGACUGGGCGUAAAGGGCGCGUAGGCGGUUUGGACAGUCAGGCGUGAAAUUCCUGGGCUUAACCUGGGGGCUGCGCUUGAUACAUCCAGACUGAGUGGGGAAGAGGGUCGUGGAAUUCCCAGUGUAGAGGUGAAAUUCGUAGAUAUUGGGAAGAACACCUAUGGCGAAGGCGAGCUCUCUGGGACGGUACUGGACGCUAGACGCGAAAGCGUGG
RNAcentral lists this ribosomal RNA (241 nucleotides) under uncultured bacterium. Its description in RNAcentral is "partial 16S ribosomal RNA". It matches the Rfam family "Bacterial small subunit ribosomal RNA", at positions 524 to 764 of the family's 1533-position model. The record is from RNAcentral.